UGAGGAAUAUUGGUCAAUGGGCGAGAGCCUGAACCAGCCAAGUAGCGUGAAGGAUGACUGCCCUAUGGGUUGUAAACUUCUUUUAUAAAGGAAUAAAGUCGGGUAUGGAUACCCGUUUGCAUGUACUUUAUGAAUAAGGAUCGGCUAACUCCGUCGCC
Molecule: ribosomal RNA, 158 nt
Filed under: uncultured bacterium
Lineage: Bacteria
Description: partial 16S ribosomal RNA
Rfam family: Bacterial small subunit ribosomal RNA
Source: RNAcentral